GACGUAGGGCGCGAGCGUUGUCCGGAUUUAUUGGGCGUAAAGAGCUCGUAGGCGGCUUGUCGCGUCGACUGUGAAAACUUGGGGCUCAACCCCAAGCUUGCAGUCGAUACGGGCAUCACUGGAGUUCGGCAGGGGAGACUGGAAUUCCUGGUGUAGCGGUGAAAUGCGCAGAUAUCAGGAGGAACACCGGUGGCGAAGGCGGUUCUCUGGGCAUUACCUGACGCUGAGGAGCGAAAGCGUGGGGAGCAAACAGG
This 254-nucleotide ribosomal RNA is filed under the name uncultured bacterium. RNAcentral describes it as "partial 16S ribosomal RNA". It matches the Rfam family "Bacterial small subunit ribosomal RNA", at positions 524 to 776 of the family's 1533-position model. The record is from RNAcentral.